RNAcentral lists this unclassified non-coding RNA (314 nucleotides) under uncultured fungus. Its description in RNAcentral is "partial contains small subunit ribosomal RNA, internal transcribed spacer 1, and 5.8S ribosomal RNA". The stretch from base 1 to 73 matches the Rfam family "Eukaryotic small subunit ribosomal RNA", at positions 1759 to 1831 of the family's 1831-position model. The record is from RNAcentral. Lineage: Eukaryota; Fungi.
UCAAACUUGGUCAUUUAGAGGAAGUAAAAGUCGUAACAAGGUUUCCGUAGGUGAACCUGCGGAAGGAUCAUUACCGAGUAAAGAAAAGACACGAUGAAUAUUCGAUUUGUCUUUUCACACAACUCUAAACCCAUUUGUGCACUUUGUUUCCUAUUUUGUUGCUUUGGCGAGAGGGUUUUCUCUCUCGCCAGAGAUUUCUCAAUUAUAAAUUCUUUUUAACAAAAUUAUUAUAAUUUUUCUUUUUUAAAACAAAAAAUAACAAAAAAACUUUCAGCAACGGAUCUCUUGGCUCUCGCAUCGAUGAAGAACGCAGC